This 24-nucleotide non-coding RNA is filed under the name Arabidopsis thaliana (thale cress). The record is from RNAcentral. Lineage: Eukaryota; Viridiplantae; Streptophyta; Magnoliopsida; Brassicales; Brassicaceae.
UGCUCCGUCGAUGAUGGCUCCUCU